Molecule: ribosomal RNA, 253 nt
Filed under: uncultured bacterium
Lineage: Bacteria
Description: partial 16S ribosomal RNA
Rfam family: Bacterial small subunit ribosomal RNA
Source: RNAcentral
UACGGAGGGUGCAAGCGUUAUCCGGAUUCACUGGGUUUAAAGGGUGCGUAGGAGGGCAGGUAAGUCAGUGGUGAAAUCUCCAAGCUUAACUUGGAAACUGCCGUUGAUACUAUCUGUCUUGAAUAUUGUGGAGGUGAGCGGAAUAUGUCAUGUAGCGGUGAAAUGCUUAGAUAUGACAUAGAACACCAAUUGCGAAGGCAGCUCGCUACACAUAUAUUGACGCUGAGGCACGAAAGCGUGGGGAGCAAACAGG